This 120-nucleotide ribosomal RNA is filed under the name Pteropus alecto (black flying fox). The record is from RNAcentral. Lineage: Eukaryota; Metazoa; Chordata; Mammalia; Chiroptera; Pteropodidae.
GUCUAUGGCCAUGUCACCCUGAACAAGCCCGAUGCCGUCUGAUCUCGGAAGCUAAGCAGGGCUGGGCCUGGUUAGUACUUGGAUGGGAGACCGCCGAGGAAGACCAGGGUGCUGCAGUUG